GGGUGAGUAAUACAUCGGAACGUGCCCUGUAGUGGGGGAUAACUAGUCGAAAGAUUAAUUAAUACCGCAUACGACCUGAGGGUGAAAGCGGGGGACCGCAAGGCCUCGCGCUACAGGAGCGGCCGAUGUCUGAUUAGCUAGUUGGUGGGGUAAAGGCCUACCAAGGCGACGAUCAGUAGCUGGUCUGAGAGGACGACCAGCCACACUGGGACUGAGACACGGCCCAGACUCCUACGGGAGGCAGCAGUGGGGAAUUUUGGACAAUGGGGGCAACCCUGAUCCAGCAAUGCCGCGUGUGUGAAGAAGGCCUUCGGGUUGUAAAGCACUUUUGUCCGGAAAGAAAUGGCCUGGGCUAAUACCUCGGGUCGAUGACGGUACCGGAAGAAUAAGCACCGGCUAACUACGUGCCAGCAGCCGCGGUAAUACGUAGGGUGCGAGCGUUAAUCGGAAUUACUGGGCGUAAAGCGUGCGCAGGCGGUUUUGUAAGACCGAUGUGAAA
This 499-nucleotide ribosomal RNA is filed under the name Cupriavidus lacunae. Its description in RNAcentral is "bacterial SSU rRNA". It matches the Rfam family "Bacterial small subunit ribosomal RNA", at positions 104 to 599 of the family's 1533-position model. The record is from RNAcentral. Lineage: Bacteria; Pseudomonadati; Pseudomonadota; Betaproteobacteria; Burkholderiales; Burkholderiaceae.